GGAAUAAAAGUCGUAACAAGGUUUCCGUAGGUGAACCUGCGGAAGGAUCAUUAUUGUAUAACCGAGGUGCUAGGGCUGUCGCUGACCCGAAAGGUCGUGCACGCCCGAGUGCCCUCACACACAUCCAUCUCACCCCUAUGUGCACCACCGCGUGGGUCCCCCUUUGGCUUGUUCGGAGGGGGGCUUACGUUUUCACACAAACUUUGUAUGCAGUGUAGAAUGUAUUUUUUGUUUUUGCGAUCACGCAAUCAAUACAACUUUCAACAACGGAUCUCCUGGCUCUC
RNAcentral lists this unclassified non-coding RNA (284 nucleotides) under plant metagenome. Its description in RNAcentral is "partial contains small subunit ribosomal RNA and internal transcribed spacer 1". The stretch from base 1 to 53 matches the Rfam family "Eukaryotic small subunit ribosomal RNA", at positions 1779 to 1831 of the family's 1831-position model. The record is from RNAcentral.